UGCANGUCGAACGAGAAAGGGGAGCAAUCCCUGAGUAAAGUGGCGCACGGGUGAGUAACACGUGACUAACCUACCCCGGAGUGGGGGAUAACUGAGGGAAACCUUAGCUAAUACCGCAUAAUACCUACGGGUCAAAGGAGCAAUUCGCUCUGGGAGGGGGUCGCGGCCGAUUAGUUAGUUGGCGGGGUAAUGGCCCACCAAGACAGUGAUCGGUAUCCGGCCUGAGAGGGCGCACGGACACACUGGAACUGAAACACGGUCCAGACUCCUACGGGAGGCAGCAGUGGGGAAUUUUGCGCAAUGGGGGAAACCCUGACGCAGCAACGCCGCGUGGAGGAUGAAGUACUUCGGUACGUAAACUCCUUUCGAUCGGGACGAUUAUGACGGUACCGGAAGAAGAAGCCCCGGCUAACUUCGUGCCAGCAGCCGCGGUAAUACGAGGGGGGCAAGCGUUGUUCGGAAUUAUUGGGCGUAAAGGGUGCGUAGGCGGUUUUGUAAGUCUGAUGUGAAAUCUAUGGGCUCAACUCAUAGACUGCAUCGGAAACUGCAGGGCUUGAGUGUGGGAGAGGUGAGUGGAAUUUCCGGUGUAGCGGUGAAAUGCGUAGAUAUCGGAAGGAACACCUGUGGCGAAAGCGGCUCACUGGACCACAACUGACGCUGAUGCACGAA
This 669-nucleotide ribosomal RNA is filed under the name uncultured Fibrobacteres/Acidobacteria group bacterium. RNAcentral describes it as "bacterial SSU rRNA". It matches the Rfam family "Bacterial small subunit ribosomal RNA", at positions 56 to 757 of the family's 1533-position model. The record is from RNAcentral. Lineage: Bacteria; Pseudomonadati.